UUUCUGCACAGAGCUCACCACCCACUUUUGCUGUAUCAACGAUGACUGAUCUCACUUAAGAUUCAGCAAUGUUUCUUCCGACUACUUCUCAAGCGCAUUCUAAAUUAGAAGCGGCAGGAUCGAGGAAGAUAUCUGUCACUGCAGCCGGGACAAUUCGUUCCUGGCCACCACAGGAGUUGGUCGCGUACUUUGCCGCCCUUGCUGCAGACUAAUUUCUUUCACAGUUUCACUUAUCCGGGCACCAGGACAAGCACUUAGUUUUCUUCCGUGUUCGCGCUUCGAUCGGUCUCCAAGGCGAGCUCAUCUCCAUGCAGUGCAGCCGACUACGAAUAUCAGCCAUCGUCAGCACACUGCCUUGCGCCGCACUAAGAGGCAGGCUGAAGAAGAGAGCUCAUUAUAUCGAAAUAUUAAUUACCUACGACAAUACCAGGGGGCAGCUGCACCCAAGAUAGAUCACCAAAAGGUAAAGCUACAGUGUAGUUGUCCUGUAGGUAGCAGAGUAGCGUCGAUGCAGUGUUCUCGGAUCAUUAGUGGUGUGCUUGUUGUUAGUGUUCUUUUUUAAAAAUAACAGGACAUUUGAGUAGCUAGUCAUCGAAGUAUAUAAUAAGUGUGUUUCAACAAAUGACCAUUUCUUGUGUGAUUAUGUCAGUGAAACCUGAGUGUUAGGAUAUUUAGUUCAGAUUUUGUUUCUUUUGUUGAAUAUGGUUAGAUUGCGUAGUCAGAAAGAUAUAAACAUGGAUAAUGAACAACAGUUAGCAAGCAGUGAUACCGAGUUAGAAACUGGGGCACAAAGUAAUGUUAGUGGCGUAAUUCAGGAAGUACAAUGUGAGAAUCUGGGGGCAGAAGGGCAAGAAAUGUGGCCACUGCCAGCCAGUGAUUCAGUUGAAAGUAGAAAUACUGUACCACCCACAAGCACUAGACACGGACCAGAGAGUGGUGAGGUGUCAGAAGUGCAAUCAUUAAGAGUUAUGUUCGAGCGCAUGCUCAGUAUCCAAGCUACGUUUGUGCAUGAACAAGCAAAGCGUGACCAGAGAUUGGUAGCUGAAUUUGCACGUAUGCAAGCAGAACGUGAAAGAGAACGUGAUGCUAAACAAGCAGAGCGUGAUCGACGCCAGC
Long non-coding RNA from Schistocerca serialis cubense, 1116 nucleotides. RefSeq lists it as uncharacterized. NCBI's taxonomy places the organism in Eukaryota, Metazoa, Arthropoda, Insecta, Orthoptera, Acrididae. The record is from RefSeq and is a predicted model, not a curated record. The transcript has 3 exons.